This 510-nucleotide ribosomal RNA is filed under the name uncultured bacterium. Its description in RNAcentral is "partial 16S ribosomal RNA". It matches the Rfam family "Bacterial small subunit ribosomal RNA", at positions 28 to 507 of the family's 1533-position model. The record is from RNAcentral.
GACGAACGCUGGCGGCGUGCUUAACACAUGCAAGUCGAACGAAGAGCGAUGGAAGCUUGCUUCUCUCAAUCUUAGUGGCGAACGGGUGAGUAACGCGUAAUCAACCUGCCCUUCAGAGGGGGACAACAGUUGGAAACGACUGCUAAUACCGCAUACGAUCUAAUCUCGGCAUCGAGGAUGGAUGAAAGGUGGCCUCUACAUGUAAGCUAUCACUGAAGGAGGGGAUUGCGUCUGAUUAGCUAGUUGGAGGGGUAACGGCCCACCAAGGCGAUGAUCAGUAGCCGGUCUGAGAGGAUGAACGGCCACAUUGGGACUGAGACACGGCCCGGACUCCUACGGGAGGCAGCAGUGGGGAAUCUUCCGCAAUGGACGAAAGUCUGACGGAGCAACGCCGCGUGAGUGAUGACGGCCUUCGGGUUGUAAAGCUCUGUUAAUCGGGACGAAAGGCCUUCUUGCGAAUAGUGAGAAGGAUUGACGGUACCGGAAGAGAAAGCCACGGCUAACUACGUG